CAACCUUUAAGCCUUGUAGCUUAGCGUUGGGAAUCUACCCCUCACUGAGGGGUAGUUCCUUAAAUUUAGUGGCGGGGUUAUAGCAUACUCUAGGCGUAGUAGUUUCACUCGCUUUCAGGGAGGCUGUAGCUGCUUGCCGUAAAACCCCCUAUAACUUAUAGU
Molecule: unclassified non-coding RNA, 162 nt
Filed under: uncultured Annulohypoxylon
Lineage: Eukaryota; Fungi; Ascomycota; Sordariomycetes; Xylariales
Description: sequence contains ITS2
Source: RNAcentral